Molecule: long non-coding RNA, 808 nt
Filed under: Anas platyrhynchos platyrhynchos (common mallard)
Lineage: Eukaryota; Metazoa; Chordata; Aves; Anseriformes; Anatidae
Description: lncRNA (ENSAPLG00000029749.1)
Source: RNAcentral
GCUUUUGCAUAAGCUAGUAUCCUAACAGCUACUCGCUGGUAUUUGUACACUAUUCUUUCGGGUUUAAUUACUAUGCUUUAUAUUGUUCAAAUAUAAGUAUAUGGCAUUUUAUGGAAGAAUGUGCAUGGAAGGACAUUUUUUUCAGUAGAGGAAUCUCUGUUUUCAGAUGCAUAUGUCAUAAAGCAUGCUGCAGUCCUGUAUAUACUCCCUUGGCCCUUUGACCAGUGCAACCAGGAGACAGUUUAUGGAAGAAUUGCCUUACACUUAAGGAGGAAAGGAAGUGAAAUACUGAUACUAAGGAACUCAGUUGCUUGGAGACCUGCAUCUUGUUAUCUGUGCUGAAAGCCAGGUCAACGGGGGAGCAGAGAAGUCAAAGGCAUCGCUGUAGCAAGCAAGAUCUAAACCUCAAUCAUGUCAUUGAUCCACCCUCAAAUGCCCUUUCCUGCGAGUUCCUCGUGGCAAGUCCUGGUCUGCGGGAGAUGGACAGAAUAAUGGGGUACUCUGCUCUCCUCCUGGCUCCUGCUUGGGCAGUGCACAUUUGGACAGGCAAUCACACCAGGUCAGUAGCCACAACGGGUUUUGAAGUGCAAAGUAAAUAAGUGAUGUCUGACUGUGAUGGUUCGAAAUCAGCACUAAAAGUUCUCCAGACAUUGGUAUUCCACAGGCCAUACCUAUUCACAAAGAAAAGAUCAAGUAGAUUAACACCUUACCUUUCCAGUUGCAUAUAAUUACUAUAACAGAAGUUGCCUUUUUGUAAAGCUGAAGAUAAAACAAUAAACUUUGACUGUCUUGAUUUAGUGCUUGUGCC